RNAcentral lists this transfer RNA (73 nucleotides) under Marmota monax (woodchuck). Its description in RNAcentral is "tRNA.Ala". It matches the Rfam family "tRNA". Rfam says of the family: Transfer RNA (tRNA) molecules are approximately 80 nucleotides in length. Their secondary structure includes four short double-helical elements and three loops (D, anti-codon, and T loops). Lineage: Eukaryota; Metazoa; Chordata; Mammalia; Rodentia; Sciuridae. The record is from RNAcentral.
UGUGGAUGUAGCUCCAUGGUAGAGCACUUGCCUAGCAUGCAUAAGGCCUUGGGUUUGAUCCCCAGCACUGCAA